Molecule: long non-coding RNA, 861 nt
Filed under: Phasianus colchicus (ring-necked pheasant)
Lineage: Eukaryota; Metazoa; Chordata; Aves; Galliformes; Phasianidae
Description: lncRNA (ENSPCLG00000006153.1)
Source: RNAcentral
GGUAGGCAUAGCGGGUUCACACAGUCUUUGGCCUAACAACACUGACACUUCCCUUUUCCAAAUCACUCAGGAAAUCACAAGUAGCAUUACCACCUGGGACCUGCCUGGGCUCUGGCACUAUUCGCCUUCCUCUGCCUCCAUGGGAGCAGUGAUAGGCUCCCAGUGAUAGGCACAAACCCAUUAAGCAAAUGGAUUUUUUUCUUGUGUAGUGUUUAAAAAUAGUCACUUUUUAUUAUUAAAAAUGGUGGCUGGUGUGUCAUGACUCAACAGUCCGAGGGCAAAUCUGCACACUUUAUAUCAAUACUUCACGUAAGCAACUGAAGUAAUCGAUAGUUCAAGUAUAUGUCUGUAUUUAUUACAUAUUCGAUCGACUAACUCGUGCUCUUUCAUCAAUACAUUAACUGAUAAUAAAACUCCGUUUACUAUAGAAAAUAUUAGACACUGUGUAACGAAUAAUUGAACAUUACUAUGUGAGAAUAUUGAGCUACAAAGGAGCAGCGGGAGGGAGCUGCGCUGUGCCCUCCCAGCUGAGCCCACCUCGCGUGAUUAAAGGGAAAACAAAAUGCCAUAGAUAAGAGAUUAAAAACGCCUUGUGCUAAUAAAGAUCUGAACUCAUCAAAGCAGGAAGGAUUCAAACAGGGCAGGUGCUGCUUUUGAGCCGGCUGAGAGGUGUCCUUCCAACAGCAGCAGCGGCUUGUGGAGUGUUGUCCAAAUCAGCAGUGUGUGCCCUGGGGACAAUAAAGAAGCAGAUGUGAUUUUUUUGUGCUGUGCAGUUGCUUCGUGGAUAUAAGGCUUUUCCCAUGGACUGAUGCACUGGGAAGAGCCACAUCCCAGUGUCACCAUCUGGGACCGAGCUCCUUC